RNAcentral lists this transfer RNA (86 nucleotides) under Microcaldota archaeon. RNAcentral's name for it is "tRNA-Ser". It matches the Rfam family "tRNA". Rfam says of the family: Transfer RNA (tRNA) molecules are approximately 80 nucleotides in length. Their secondary structure includes four short double-helical elements and three loops (D, anti-codon, and T loops). The record is from RNAcentral. Lineage: Archaea; Nanobdellati; Microcaldota.
GCGGAGGUCGCCUAGUGGCUAUGGCGGCAGCCUGCUAAGCUGUUAACCCGUUUAGGGUUGCGCGGGUUCGAAUCCCGCCCUCCGCG